This 24-nucleotide non-coding RNA is filed under the name Cricetulus griseus (Chinese hamster). The record is from RNAcentral. Lineage: Eukaryota; Metazoa; Chordata; Mammalia; Rodentia; Cricetidae.
UUGGGCUGACAGUGCAUGCUGUGC